GGGAAACGCCACACUGUAUAUGCUGUUACCAGUGUGAAGGAGUGAUUUUGCGGAAUAGCUAACCCUCUUUGAAAGAUGUGGCAUGAUAUGAGACGAAGAUGAAGUACGGUUUAUACUUAGAAACACGAGAUUGAUAAUGAUAAAACCACGCCGAAGGGAUGUACAUCAGCGGACUAGCAAAGAAGACCCGGCCGAAUCGGUUCCUUGUCAUGAAAUUACAGGCAAGGGGGCUCUGUACCUACAAAUGAAAUAAACUAAUGAAUGAGACUAACAAGAAUUGGACUCACAAACGAGGAGACUAACGAGAAUUUAACUCACGAACGAGCCCAUUCGUCUUCCCAGAGGGCGAGUCGACACGACCACAGGACCUCAAUACUACAGAAUUUCUGGUCUUUGUAUUCAUAGAUUAAUGUAUAGUUUAUGCUAUAUCGCUCUAACAGAGCGAAAUAGCAAUGAUGCUUUUCCAAAUACUAAUAAAUGAUUUCAAAUAACGACA
This is a long non-coding RNA of Ostrea edulis (European flat oyster), 496 nucleotides long. RefSeq lists it as uncharacterized. The transcript is spliced from 2 exons. Lineage: Eukaryota; Metazoa; Mollusca; Bivalvia; Ostreida; Ostreidae. The record is from RefSeq and is a predicted model, not a curated record.